This 3228-nucleotide long non-coding RNA is filed under the name Struthio camelus australis. RNAcentral's name for it is "lncRNA (ENSSCUG00000004078.1)". The record is from RNAcentral. Lineage: Eukaryota; Metazoa; Chordata; Aves; Struthioniformes; Struthionidae.
GGCCAUUUCUGAAGUUUCUCCCCUCUUCUCAGACCUCUGAGAUGCACCUACUGUGUCUUCUGGCUCCUGAUCAUAUGGAGGUCAUGGUAGAUGAUUCUCAGGUGAAGAAGGCUGCGUUUGUCUCUGGAGCACACAACAGCUCCAGCCCAGCGCUGCAGUUCUCUUCAGUGAAGCAGCAGGACUUGAUUGGGCAGGACUUCCACACAGAGAUAUGGAUCACAUGCAACAUGGUUGCCAGAUAUCAGCUAAAGAGCUGACUUGAAGUUUAUCCAUAGUCAUGCUCACACCCCACUCUUGUUCCCAUGCUCAUCAGUCUUUAUACCUCCAGAACGGUAGCAAAUUGGCAGAGCAGAGCUCCGGAGUCCUUCCCAUUCAGAAGGUCAUCAGCUACUAGGAGGAUGAGGAAUCCACAUAACCUGCCUCUUGAAAUUCCCUCUCCUCGUUUUGAUGCAGAGCACGGCCAGAAGACUGACUUUAUUGGUGAGGAAGAGUGGAACGGAUCCAAAGCCUGUUGUCUCGCUGGUAACCAGGGUGCCUGCUGGAAGGGCUGUAGCUGUUGCGUCGAAACCCAAAUGCAAUUAUGCAAUGUCUGCUAAGCAGCAAGGAGUUUGCCUGGAUCAGGAGACUGCUUCAUUGCCCGCAGAAGAGACCGACAGCAGCCAGUAACUGAUUGCUUCUUAUUGCUGAAGCAUCAGUGAUUUUUUUCCGAUGCUUUCUCCUCUUUGUAGCCAUGGCUCUGAGACAUUCAGUACGCUGAGUGAAGCGCUGGGGUGGGGGAAGAGGCAAGGGCAGCAGACAGGAUAAGGCCAGCUGGAGGAGCAGUAGUUUUCAGUGGCAAUAAGCAGGACAUUGGCAACUCGUUUUCCUCCUGUUUCUCUGCUGACUGCCUUCCACAUCUCUGUAAUGACACGUCAGACUGGGGUGUUCCCCUUGUUUCUGUGCUCCUGUUUGCAUGGCUCCAGGUUGGCUUAGAAACCUUUCCCCUUGUGUGUGUUUGAUAGUCCCGUCUCUCAAUGCAAGAGCGGGCGCUCAGAGGAGGCGGUUUUUUUCUCUCCAGGGUCCUGGCUCUUUUUCCAUCAGACACCAGUGUUAGGUGAACAUCCCUCCAGUGCAGAAGGAAUGAAUCCUUCAUUUUCACAAAUGCAAAUGCUGGCUACCCGUUGCCUAUCUAAGCGAUAUUUGGUUCCUGCCGCCUCCUUGCAAUUCUAGUUCAAAAGCACCUCUCAGACUGUAACAUCUGUUAUCUUUAGCUUUACAGCUCUGAAACAUGCGUUGGCUUAAUCACAUGUUUAGCACUGCUGACUGUGGUACGUGUCCAAAUAUUAAGUAACUUACUGAGCUGGGGCCUAGCUUUGACUGAUGGGAUUAGGGCUAUCAGAUUGUUUUUUUCCAUUUGGGUCACCGAGAACAUUUAGAUAGACAAUUAAAAGAGAUGCUGCCCUCUGUAAUCUUGCUGGAGAGAGAAAGAGUAACCAGGAAAGCAUUUGGCUGAAGAAAGAUGAAGUGCAAGUCCACUGGAGGUCUUUUGCUGGGCCUAAAGAGAGUUUAAGCGUUUUGCAGGGGACCAAAACUGACCACGCGUGGUUGACCGCCACUGCCAGAAAAUGGAGGGAGCAAGCGAAAUCGGAGGAAAGGCUGCAGACCAGGAUAUACCCAUCUAUUGGGAAGAGAGUUUCUUUAGUUCAGCUGCUUGCAGGCCUGCUCCACCAGUCAACGUGCCGUUUGUUGUUGACUGGCUCCUCCCAGGUGGGCCAGUCACAAAAACCCAACACAGUUGCCUUGCUGGGACCAGCUGACCCGGCUGUGAUCUCCAUGUCCUCCCUUCUGGCUGGAGAGCAGCAAGCCUGGGGUAGCUCUGCGGUGUCCGAGCUGUUGUUUAAUGUUCUGUUGUGCAGGGCAGGCUGCCCGUGGAAAAGCCUUGGGCAAGCGUAACCAGAGAGGUCUGAUGACAUGCUUUCUCUUGGACACCAAGGUCCUGGCGGCUGUUUUUUGGGUUUCCUGUUCUGCCCUUCAGGUCUCAGGUCCUGGCAGGUGGUAUCCUAGGUCUGGUGGCAGCAGAGGCUGAAGGUGUGAGGAGGUGCAGGCGUCUCCUGGAGCAGCGCUGCUGGCGUCCCGCUGCUGGGCUGGAAGGGACUGCUCCAGGGACCGUGCUGGCUCUCUGGACGUGGCAGGAGCGUCCGUCUUGUGCUGGUGCCAGCCCUGGCUGGAGCUGCCCUGCGCUCGCAGCUUGGCACCACCACGCUGGCUGGCCUCUCGGGGCACGCGAGCCACCGUCUGUGUCCUACACCUGGCUCAGACCUGCCUUUUGUGGCUGGAUCGUGCGGGACAAGCCGUGUCUUGCUGGGACAGAGGGCUGUUUCUGGCACUUCAGCCAGUUCCUGCAAAGGGCUCUUCACCUUCAGCAGUCAACACGCCUGUGCAGGCACCUCUCGCGCCGCUGACGUAGUCCGAUCUCUCCCUGGCCGUGUUUCUGGGCACAGUUCACCUGGUGAACAGCCGCUCGUCUGCGUCCGGGCUGAGAGCUUGAGGGGGCUCCAGGCCACGUCCAGGGUGCUGUGAUGAGACGCUGCUUCCCGCUGCUCCACGCGACCCAGCUAGCCACGUUUCCUGCCCUUCGGGAGGCCUAAACGCGUCCGCACCUGCACCGAGGGAAACAAAAGUCUUCGUGGCGCCUCUUGGCGCUGCGAUGCCGUAAACGCCAUGAAACGACUGGCCCAGCUACGCGACUGCGUGUUUUGGCCUGCUCUUGCCUCCUUGAGAGGAAACGCGUGUGCUUGAGGCAGGUUUUCAUUUGGGAAGCAAGUGAGCUCCAGAGCUCGGGUUCAGACUCCUCUCGCUUAGGAGCGGGGUCGGCACGUCGGACCUGCCCUUCCCCUGCGGGAAAGGGGUUGGACAGCCCAAAGGAGCAAAAAAUACCAUGGCCGUAACCACCCCCCCGCCACCCCCCGAAGCUGAGUUUGGGCAUCUCCUGUUAGAUCACUUUAAAUCCAGCCCUGUUGGGCCUUUGUGUCCGAUUGAAACAGCGUGACCGAAUACUUGCCAGCGGGGAAGCCUUGUUUGAUUGUGGAGGAUAUAAGAUGAUUCGAACACAAGAGCUGAUAGUUUCAAGUAACUGAAACUUAACCUUGCCGUAUAAAGCUUUAUUGUCUUGCCACAGAAAUCCUCUGUCCGGGAGAGCACAGCUGUGAGGAAAAUAAAUGCUGCUCUUCUUUUUUUUUCUUUCUUUCU